GUUUAAUUAGAUUAACAGAUCGUUGUGAUGAAAACACAGAAGGGGCUAAGGCCAUUGAACA
This 61-nucleotide transfer RNA is filed under the name Salpa thompsoni. RNAcentral's name for it is "tRNA-Phe". Lineage: Eukaryota; Metazoa; Chordata; Thaliacea; Salpida; Salpidae. The record is from RNAcentral.